RNAcentral lists this long non-coding RNA (21384 nucleotides) under Phaseolus vulgaris (common bean). RNAcentral's name for it is "long non-coding RNA (PVUL_LNC004258)". Lineage: Eukaryota; Viridiplantae; Streptophyta; Magnoliopsida; Fabales; Fabaceae. The record is from RNAcentral.
UCAGAUUAUUUUUUGGAACAUAAAACUGUUUUUCAUUAAUUCAAAAUGUAUUUUUUAUUUUUAUAAUCAUAAUAAAUAAGUUUGAGUUUUUAGAAAAUUAAUAUUUUUUUUUAAAUUAUAUUAGAACUGUAUUAGAAUUGUCAGAAAUUUAAUAAAUAAUUUUGAAUUGCACACUUCACGAACACGUAUGAGUGUCGUGUUCAAUAUGAAUAUCCACCGCGUAAUUUAAUAGAAGUUUGUGAGAUUCAGUAAUAAUUUUUUUUUUUUAGUGAUUGAUUUAGAGCAUUAUGUUGUUUAUUAUAUAUUUUAUUUAUUUUUAUCAUUAUGUUAUUUUUUAUAUUUUUAUUUAUGGUAUUGAGUAUAAAAUAUCAUUGAUGAUAACAAUAAUAGGGUUAGGUGAAUCGUAAUUGUGAAAGUAAGAGCAUAAAAUAUAGUAUUAGAUGAUGAACAGAUUACAUUACUGAAUCCCACUGGUCUUAGAAAAAGAUCUGUAGAAUAGGAGAUAAACAAACAAACAAAGAUUUAUUCUGAAACACAAGUACUUAACUUAACUCAACAACACAGCUAUAGAAAGAUGAUACAUAAAUCAUCUUCUAUAUAUGGAGAUUGAAGUUUUAACAGUGUUUGGUGCAGAAGCAUCUACGACGGAAGCCACGGCAGUGUCCUCCGCUGAAACGUUCAGUUCGGCAGACAGAAGCACAGUUGGUGUCACUCACACAUGGUCCCUUGAAACGGUGGCUCUGAGACUCACAAGUUCUUGCCUCCGCCACCAUUCUUGGUCCCAUCUCUGCUCAACACAUUAUGCAACACAACUUAUAGACAAGAUCACAAUAAAGAAAACCCUAAAAUGGAAGUAUUGAGCAUGGAGAAAAGCUUACCAGUGGCGAGAAGAAGCAGAAGAAAGACGAAGAUGGUUGAGACAAAAGACACAGAGCGAGCCAUGGAUGAGAGAGUGAGCAAGUUUGAAGAACAACUGAAGAAGCUGGGGUUGAUAGCGAAAUGCAAUGGAGCUGCUUUGCCUUAAAUAGAGAUCAUCAAGGUAAAAACAUGUGGUAAUAUUUCUUACUUACAUUAAAUUACUUAAUCAAUUAUUUAGUAAUUUUAAUUGCAUCUUUUAAUUCAUUCUUCAACUUUUAUUUUAUUAUUUUUUAAUUAUUAUUUUUUAAUUAAUUGUACAAAAAGUGUAUUCUAGCCACUUUUGAGAACUCGUGAAAAUAUAGCAAGAUUGAGUGAAUCUAUAAAGUUUAGAGUAAUAAAAAAUGUAAAAAAAAAAAAUACUGAAUUUAAAUAGUUUUUUAAUUGAAUUUUAUACCGGGAAUUUAAAAUUUCUGAAGAACUAGUUAAAGAUAAUAAAUUUCGAUAUUCAACUUAAACAAGUUAAAAAUUAUAAAAUAGUUACUAAAUAAGGAGUUUAACUAUGACAAUGAAUAUAAAAAUGAAAAGAAAAUAAUUUAUACUUUCGAGUCCUGAAUUAUAUAAUGAAAAGAAAAUAAUGUUUUCUGGUUUGCAUUAAGACCCUGUUUGUUUUAAAAUGCUUUAGGAGAAAAAGAUGAUUAUUUGUGAAAUGAAUGAUCGAGAAAAAGGUGAGGAAGCAUCAUUAUUGAGAAGCGGUGGUGAUGAGAGAGGCUUUAUCGCUUUGAGACAAUCUUUAUGACAAACACGGUGUCGACCUUCAGCUUUUCCAUUUUCACGUUUUUUUAACAUUUCAGAACUCAUCACUACACGUAAGCGCGUUUCCUUCUUUGCUCAUUCUGUAUCACAUGGGCUGGUAAGUGGGUCCCUUCGCUCGUACCAAACAGGACCUUUCGCUCACUUUUUUAUUUACUUUUUUUCAUUUCUUUGAAUUUGGUUGUAGAGUAUUACGUAUUCAUAUUUCUUUAAACAUCACUUUUUGUAAAGAGGGAAUAGACAGAAGAAAUAGAAAAUAUGGGGAUGGAAUUAAGAGAAUUAUUAUUAUUUUUUUCGGUUGGUCGAUCGAAUUAUUUUAUUUUAUUAUUUUAACGAUUUUCUCGUACUUAUCUUGUUUAUCUGUUUUUCGUUUUUUUAAAUUCUAUACUUUGAUAAUACUUAUAAAAGACAUUCUUACAUUAAAGUAAGACUACUCGGUGUUAUUAGUACUGGAUGAUGAAGUACUUGAUUCUUGAAAUCUGUAUCUACUUAUAUGAUUAUCAUGGAUAUUUUAUUGGACCGGAUUAAGGAUUUGAAUCAUAGUUAAGAAUGUAUUACAUAAUAUUUCAUCAUUAAUUAGUCUAAUUAAUCAUCUGUUUGGAUGGUUUAGGUUGCGUCGAUCGUUCUUGACAGGUACUAAACUUUCAGGUGUCGUUCGUACCGACCAGUACAAUAUCAAAUGAUAAAAAAAUAUUUCAUUUAUUAUUAUUAUUUAUUAAUAUUAACAUUUCUUUAACUAUUUACUAUCAUUAUAAAAGAUAAAAAGUUGUAAAAAAUAAAAAAAAAACACACCUUUAAUUUGAUUGUAAGUAUCACAUAAUCCACUAUGGUUAUAAAAAUAAUUUACUUCUCCCUCUUUAAAUAUGUAUUUAUUUAUUUUAUAUGUGGAUUUAUAUCUCUUAUUUAUUUAUGCAAUUGUUUUCUAUUAAUAUUUUAAUUGGAUUUUUUUCAUGUUCAUUACGUUAAUUUGGUAUGAUAAUAAUUAUAUAAAAAUUAGUUGUACCUCUUGGUGAGGACUAUAAAAAAAUAGAUUAUAUGAUGCUAAUAAGUUGUAUAUAAAAAUGAAUUAUAUUUUCUAAUUUUUUUCCGGAAAUCCUUCCUGAAGAGGUUUAUAUAUUUGUUAAACUUUAAUGUUAAUCAUUUUUAAGUUGAAAUCUAAUAUAAUCUUAAAGUGUAUAACUUAUUUAGUAAUCACCUAUUAUUAGACUCGUCGGUUCAAUAUAUAUAUAUAUAUAUAUAUAUGAUGAAAUAUGGAAAAGUUACUUGAAGAUAAGUUUUAUUCACAAUUUUGUAAAGUAAAUUAUUAGUUUAGUAUAAUAUGUUAUUUGUACUACGUUAAUAAUGAAUAAUUUUUGUUUUGUUAGUCUCACCCAAUAAAGAUUACUUAUUAUUUUAUAAAUUUAUUUUGAUUAUCAUUAUUAUUUAUUUAUUAUUAUUAAUAUUCUUAAUUUUUAAUAGUGUUCAUAGUACGAAAUCAGUGUGAACCACCCUACACCCUAUAUUAUUUCACCAAUCCAAUGAAUUGUCAUUAAUAAUAUUGCAACACAUUAUCUAACUUAAUGGAGAAAAAAAGAAAGAGAUAAAGAAAGGUUAUGUCAUGUUUGGAAUGCUGUAAAAGAAGUUCGCAGAGCUUCAUGACAGAACUUGUCACAUUAUACGAGAUUUGCUUAAUACUGAAAUAGUUCAUGCUAAUUACUUAUCUUGAAAACAAAAUAAAAAACAAUCAUAUAGAUAAAUAAAAUAAAUAGGGUAUGUUAGUAAUUUUUAGAAUUUUUAAUAUAAAUAUAACUUUAAAUUACAAAUAUAAAAUUCAUUCUUUUUCAUACAUUUUUACAAAAUCGUUUAUAGUAAUUUAUAAUACAUAUUACUCAUCAAAAAUUCACUAAUUAACCUACACAAACACUUGAUUUUUUCUAAGUUUAUAGUAAUUUAUAAUACAUAUUACUUAGAUCAGAAAUUCACUAAUUAACCUACACAAACACUUUAUUCUUUCUAAGUUUAUAGUAAUUUAUAAUACAUAUUACUCAUGUUAGAAAUUCACUAAUUAACAUACACAAACACUUGAUUCUACUUCUAAAAGAUUUAUGCAUGGAUUUAAACUCAAAUAUAUGUAUCUAUCAUAUUACUUGACUAUGAAAUUUACACAAUAAUGCGCAUAAUAAUCUUAAUAUCAAUUCAUCUCAUAUGACAUGGUUAAUUCAUACAACAGACCAAACCAGUUAUUUUUCAAACUGUAAACUCAUUCAUACGAAUAUCUUUCGACUCUCAUCACCUAAUAAUCUUCAUAUGUAUGAUUCUAAUAUAUCAGUAGAGUCAUGAUAUCUCAUUCUAAAUGAAUCAUUAGUGAAUUCACAUUUUUAUUUUUUUCAACUUUGAGAAAAUCUUUCGAAAUAUUUUCUAAGAAAUUUUCAACUUUUUAAUGUUGUAUCAUAUUGAAGGAUAUUUAACUUUGUAUCAUCUUAAACAACUCCGAUAACGAAGUGUUGGAUAUGUAUUUUUUUUCCAAGUUUAAUUGGGUUUUUCAUAUUAGGAUGUUUAAGAUAAGAAGCUUAUAUGACUAUUUUAAAAGUAACUUUUUCUUUUAAAAAGUGUGUGUGUGUGUUAAAUCCAUGGAUGAAAUAUAAGAUGAAUGAAUGAAAGUUGGAAGUAUUAUUAGUAUUAGCAAUUUUGGGGAACACAUGUCCCUCUUUUAGAUUUGUGUAUCUUGCUUUACCACUCAGUGGAAGGAUGUGGUACGAAUUUGCGGAAAAAAGGUGUCAUCACUCAUUAUUACAAAGAAUGAAUGUGUACACAAAAGUGAAAGAGAAGGAGAUUAUUUCAGAGCAAAUAUUUGUUGAAUAUGCAGUAAAUUAUAUAUAUAGAUAGAUUUUUAUUCUAGUUACUAUUUGUAUACUCUUUUUUUUUCUUAUAGUAAAUUAGCUAUUGUUGUAUUUCGAAUUAAGAAAAUGAUUUUGUUGAUUUUAAGAAAAAAGUAAUGUUUGAUUUGUAUAUUUUAAUAUGAAAUUAAAAUUGUGUUAGUAAGAAAAUCACGUUUUGACAUGGAGAAUUUUCGUAUUGAUUGAAUAUGAGUACGAAUAAUAUCCAAUUUUGUAUAUAAGAUAUGGGAAGAGGUACGAGUAUAGGUAUGUACAUAUUUGUCUCAUCUCUAACCUCAUAUACAUGUCUUGGUUUUAAAUUAUUAAACUUGUUUUAGUUUAUUAGGUAAUAUAAAAACUUAUUUCAUGUUUUCUUUUUGGUUCUAACUUUCACUCUCAUCUAGAUGACUCUUUUUCACUACACUUUUUUUUUUAUAAGUUCAUUCAGAUCCUCAAUAUAUUUUUUCUCUUAUCACAACCUUUGAUUACACACUUUUUCAUUUGUGAGAUUUCGUUUAUAAGGUGUAUUACAUUUUAGGAAGGACAAACAUCAAUUACAUUCAAUGAAACUAGGCAUACAUUUGAUUAUUUUCACUUUUUUAAAUAUUUUUUAUUUAUUGGUUAUUUUUGUCACAUGUGAACAUCCUACCCUCAAUUUUAAGUGUUGGGUAGUAUAAAGUUAGUUUAUUAUGUAACAUACAAAACUUAACGUCUUUGUGCUCUUUGUCUUUAAUUUUGUUUCAUUUAUAAAACCUUAUUUAUAGAACUUUUCUUUUGCUACAAAAUUUUUCAUAAAAACCCUCUUUUGAUUUUUUAUCAAAAUCUCAAUGUGAAUGUUUGUUCGUAAUUUUGACUAUAUAUGAAACUAUUAAUUGAGCUUUUAGAUAAGUGAUAUAUAAGGUUCGAACACAUCUCUUAAAAUAUCGUACACAUGUAUCGGACAUUGACACUCGUACGAUAUUUGUAGGACACAUAUUAGUGAAACGUCCUAUUAAAAGAAUAUUUGUUGGAUUUCUGACAAUUCUAACACAAUUUUAAAACUGAGUAAAAAAUUAUUAUAAAUUUUUUUAUUAUGAUUAUAAAAAUAAGAAACAAAUCAUUUUGAACCAGUCAAAACAAACAUCUGCUCCAAAAAAACCAAAACAUACUUGUACACAUAAAUCUUUAUUGUCAAUUUAUAUAAUUCAUAUUUAUUUUAUAUAUAAAAUUAUGUUUCUAUGUUCUAUAUUUUAAAAAUUGUAUACAUAUAUCUAUAUCAGUGCAUCUGUGUUGUGUAUCGUAUCAGUAGUCAGUGAUCCUUAUCGAAACUGCAGUAGAUUUUAGAAAAAUGUACACCUGUGUUCAUCAUUUCAUAUAAAAUUUAGAAUUCUCUUGUUGGAAAUAAUUUUCUGACACAAAAACUUCAAUAAUUUUGAAACAAAAUAGCAACUAGUGUCAGUAUUUUCUCUUGGUUCUUGAAUCGAAUUGCUGGAUUCUUAUCCAAGAAACAUUUAUGUGACAGAUCAUUGACUUUACUAACAUUAGAGCUUCAUCAAUACCCGUGUCAGUUUUCCAGUUAAAAACAAGCUUACCGUUAAUUUACUAACCAAUAACAUUUUACUAAACAAAAAAACACAAGGCUAUAGGAGAGAAUAUUAACAAGGUUAAUAUAUUUCCAUUAACUUCGUUUAACCCAUCAUUCGAUUCGUGGUAUACACAAAGAGUUAAUAACCUUUUCUUUGAACAUAAAGAUCCUCAUAAAAAGAUGAAAAAGGGGAUCAUAUUGAUGGGAAUCACCAAUCUGAAGUUCUCAGUCUCCAAUUUAACCCGGUAAUGAACACGAACUCAAUCCCAUGUCACCGAAAUCAUAGAGUUGGCAAGGCCUGAAUCCUGGAAGGUUGAAUUACUUUCAUAGUCCAGAUUUUUAGAUGCUCCGGGAAUUGCAUGAGUUAGUCUAAAUGGCUUUGUUUCAUCCUCCCCUAGUUGGGUGGAAAUAAAAGACCACAGCAGCUUCAAGAAAAACAAAGAAAAUCAAAACCAGACAAAUAAACUAACAAAAAACACAAUCAACUUGCAUCCCAAAAGGCAAAGAUCCUUUCAUACAAAUCUCCACACAACACUAAUACUUAUUCUGAAUAAUGGGUGGUGUAAGAAAUUCAGGAAUUCAACUGAGGGUCAAUAACUCUGUUCUCCAAAUUAACAAGAAAAUAAGCUUGCAAUUUAAACCAGGGUACAUAAUUAUUAUCAUUAACUUUGCAGUAUCCAGCAGUCAUCAAAUAAAACGUAACAAUUAACAGUACUACUGUACUACAAUACAUAAUUAACUCAUGUUUGAGUAAGAGUGUCCAUGAUAAAUUUAAUAAUUAAAAUAUUUCCCUUUGCCAUACACCCAUAUCAUAUACAUCCAUAACAAUCAUAAUUUCAAGAACAAUGUAGCAAUAUCGAAAGACAUGCAGAUAUAAAUAAUAUCCAGUAGUCUUUGAAGGGGAUAAAGAAUGUACAGCAUCCAGAAAUCAUAUUAAAUUGGCAGAAGAUCAUCUUUAAGAAAAAUGAGAACAUUAGGUUGGAUGAAUUCCUAUAGGUAUGAGAGCAACAUCUGUUACCUGAAUUGGAUCCGUGCGUAAGAAAUUACGCUGAACACGUUGACCACCUGGAAGCCGCACACCAACUCUGCAGAGGAGAUUUCUUUCAGCCUUGGGUUCUUCAGGCAGGGGUGGAUAUGUGGGCCUCUUAGCCAAUUUUGUUUCUUGCCCGUUGACUGCAACAUCAGCAUCUUUAUUGUCUCCACCACCAGCCAUAGCAGUUGAUUCUUUCAUGCUUUCCAUAGAAGCUGCCAGAGCUCGUUGAACUUCCUCAUCCUCCUCUUUAUUUUCAUUUGAUUCUACCAAGGCUAUAACAUCAAACAACAUGAUGAUGAAAAAAUUAAAAAAGACGGUUUCAUCAUUAGAAAUGUAAGGUAGACAUAUCUCUAUACUAAAAUAUAAACCUUGAUUAUCUUUGUUUUUCAUCUAUUCCCAUUUUGAUAAAAUCAGCAUAUCAUAAUCCCAGAUUUCAGAUCCUUAUCACUUAUUAUUUUCUUAGAAUAUUUGUUAGUUAUGAUUCUAUUAAUUAGGGGUUUCUUUAUUUUUUUAUUAGCAUAAUUGUUAGAUAUGAUAAUACUGACAAAGGAUCUCUUUAUUAUUAAUUAGGAUAUUUUUUAGUUAUGAUCCUAUUAAUUAGGGUUAUCAUUGUAGCCUUUUUUCAAAGACAUUUAUUUGGAAUGAUAAUAGCUAAUAACAGAUAGCUGCAGAGUUUUCACCCACAAAAACAUUAUAGCAUGAUAGCAGAGUGCGAGAUAACCACUCUAUUUAAUGUUAUAAUAAUACUAUUAAAAUUUAUAAUAAAUAUUCUACCAUUAAAAUGUAGCAUAAAUCACACUCAUAGCCAGUGAGGUUUUUUCGAAUGACACUAACACCCCAGUUCUUUAAAAACUUUACUCAAACCUCCCCUUUGUUUUAAAAACAUUACAUUUGCCCCCCUUUUUACAGUAAACAUGUACCCCCAUGCAAUCCCAUUUUACAUUUCAUAAUGACAAAAGUCGGGGGUCUCUGUGAUUUACUCAAAUUAUAUUCAAUAUUCUGCUGUUAGAAAAUCAUAUAUGAAUAAAAAAAAGGUUCAAUAGUCCAAAGUUGAAACAUGGUCUUUGUUUGGAACCACCAUUGGCUUGGCAGACUCCGACCAGUGCUAUAUAUUUAAAUAAAUUUAUAAAAAAGUGCAUUGACACAGUGGUUGCCUUGACUAAUGUUUGUACAUGCCCUAUAUUUGACCCUUCCCAACCUAGCUUUGUAAGCUAUUUAGAAAUUACAUGCCCAAUCCCACAUCACUCAAGCCCAAUAAGCCAUCAUAAACCUAAAUCUCAUCUACAUACAAAUGUGAUGAGCCACCACAAGCCCUCACAUACACACAAGCAUAGUUUAAUUUUUCCUCUCUCUUCUCUCUUUCUUUUUCUCUCUUCUUAUGCUCCCUCUACGCUACAACAAACUUUAAGAGACAACUACUUUUUUUUUGUGCCAAUAAAGGUAUUUCUAGUGCGACCGAAUUCACUGAUUUUGUCCAGUCUAAUCUGAUUCAGAUCCAGUUCAAUGACAUUGACACCAGUUCGAGAGCAGGUCCAAUCUUGUGACUUGAUCCAACUGACCACAAGUUCGGUUUAUAAUCAAAUCAGCCAAUCCAAGAAAGUUUAAUAACACUACUUGAAACUAAACAAGCAUAGACUGGGAUUAUAAUAGGCUGGUGAGUAUAGAACAGAGUUGCAUAGACACCAGUUUGAGAACAGAUCCAAUAUUAUGACUGACUGAACUGGUCACAAGUUUGGUUUAUGGUCAAACCAACCAGCCAAUCUGACCUGAGUUUAAUAACACUACAUGAAACUGAACAAAAAGUGUAUGCGUACGUACCUAUGGUGUUUCCUUCUUUUCCAUCCUGAUUAUAUUAUUUAAGAUUGGGUUUAUGAUUGGUUGGUGAGUAUAGCACAGAUUUGAUGUUCAAAAAACAAACAGGAAUACUUAGGAACGCAUUGGUGUGCUAGAACUUGUUAACAUCAAGUCAUCUAACACCAAACAAACACCUAGAAUAUAGACAGAGACUAGCAAAAAACCUUUAGGUUUUGGUGGGCUAGAACUUCCUCUAGGACGCUUGUGAGACAAUGUAAUAUGAUGAUCCUUAGGCCCUGCAUCAAGGAAUGCUAGUAGACCCUGCAUCAGUAAGUUAAAAAAUAACCUAGUUCAGGAUUUAUUUAUGAAUAAUGUUUCAAUUUCUCAAUAAAAAAUGUCUUGAUCAUAGCAAGUUAAAAAAACUGUAUCACAUACUUCCAAUAAGCUUUCGGGUGGAACCAUUCCAAUCCAAGAGCGCAUCUUUUGGCCAGUGAUGGGGUCAAUAACAAGUACAACAGGAAUUGAAUCCAGUCGGUAAUAAGUGCAGACUUUUCUGCCUUCAGUUGUAUCAUCAUAUACCUAUAUGCAAAAACAAUAAUUGACAAUGAAAAAUUGUAUAUAAUACAAAAAAAAUACAACAAAUGUACGUGUUUAAUAUCAGCAACAAAUACUUUUGAAAAUAUCACCAUAAACCCAAAUGCAAGCAGCAACCACUCUUAAAGAAUUGGAACUAUAGAGGACUUAAAACAGCUACCACAGGGGGAAAGCAGUUGCCAUUCACUGGUUAGAGCAAGUUUACAUAAGCAAAAUUGCCAAGAGUACAAGAUUUGAGAAGGACAAGAAAGAAGACUUAAGUAAUGGAUGCUCCUAAAUUAAAGAAAGUAUUAUUUCAAUCAUCCAACCCGAUCCCAUAAAGUAUCAACCUGAUGAUUCUCCCACCAAAAGCAAUUGUUACACUUACACACACACACACAUCAUCACAAUAUCUAAACACAUAUAUAAUAAUUCAUUCACUUUUAUUUUUAAAUCCAAUGGAUCAUAUUUUUUUGUUUCAAGGACAUGAUCCAUGCAAUAUCCCAAAGCUAACAACCAAGGACUGAUCUAAUUAAUACUUAAUGGAUCAAAGUCAAUUCAUCAUAAAUUUUUUCAUAUUUAAUUUUUUUAGUAUUCUCUCCUCGCCCAUUCUCUCUCAAUGGAUUGGAAUUGGAUCUAUCAAGUCCAAAAUUCAAAAUUCUUAAUAAAAAAAUUGUAUUUAAAAACUCUAAGAGAUAAAUAAUAUUUUCUAACAAAUUAAAAAUGUCAUUAAAAUAAUAGACACACAUUCAAUGUUGUUUUCACUCAAAACAUGAUUUAAGAUCAAAUACAAGCAUACAAAAUUACUGAUAAAGAAAGUUUCACCAAAUUAAGUUGAACAAGAAAACACUCAUUGAACAUAAACAAACAGACUGGGUUAUUUACUUUAGUUACUACUUGCACCAGAAAAAAUCAAUAGUGUUUGAAGUGAAACUAAAAUUUUAUUUAGAAAUAUCUGAAGUCUUAUACCAUGUGGAAAGAUUGAAUUAUUAACAAUGAAUCUUGUACUACAGAUAGAUCACAGAUUCACAAUUUCAAUAUUUAAACAAUUAUUCUAGUUCAUUCAUCCUAAAUCCUCCUUCGGCUUUCAGCUAGCUAUAAUCUUUUAAUCAACCAACGAAUUGAACCCAUGGUAUAUUGAAAGAACAAUUGGAGUUUGCUUUCAACUUUCAAAAACUAUGAUAUUUUAAUUUGUCAAAAAGUAUUUUUUUAUCUCUUAGUUUUCAAAUAGUAUUUAUUUUAUCAAGAAUUUUCGACCACCUAAAUCCAAUUCCAAUUCAUUAACAGAAAGGGGAGAGGGAAAUGGGGGGCAGGGAAUAGAGAAAGAAGAGAAUAUUUAACAAAUAAAUUUAUUUCAUUUUUAAAAUAUAUUAUUUUAUUGGAUGCCCAUCCAUUAAAAAUUAUAAUGGAUGGAUUGCAUUGGAUUUUAUUAGAUGGAUCAUGGAUGGAUUGGAAUUGUUAGUGGAACAAAAUAAAUUAUUUGUAUCCGAUCUGUAAUGAUCUGGCUAAGAAUUGAUUUGAUUCAUCCAUUUUAUCAUCCAUACAGAUAGAAAAUAUUAUGAAUCAAGAGGCAUAGACAAAUUCCAGUUACUGUAAACCUAAUUUAACUGGGUCUCACUGACUCAAGUGCUCUAUACUUUAAUUGAAAGCUGCUGUCUAAACUACCAACUAAAUGUAAAUGUCCAUCAAACUAAUAAUAGACACAGUUAAGAGAAAGAUAUACAUAAAAUUUAACUAAACACAAGAGAAAAUGUAAUCUGACAUGAGCCCAUUUUGAAGUCCAAAUAUCAAAAUCCUCCAAACUUCAUAAUUAAUUUAAUUAAUCUGAGUGAAUUUGUUCUUUUAUCCAAAAAUUACAAUAAGACAUGGUUAAGCUUAACCGCAUACCGUUAGAGUGCCAUUCUGUGUAUUAUGGGCAAGAUAAUAUCCAGAAACUUUUUUGAAGAAAUUUGAGAAAUUAUACGUACUCUUAUAUAAAUGCCAGGUAAAUAACAUUUUGAAAAUAGAAAAAAAAUUAACCACCAGUGUUCAAGUCAACAGAGUAGGAAACUGACCUGCCAGAAUAUACAGUUUGUACUAAUAGUCUGAGAAACAGCUUCAUUGGCCCAUGUAUCACGAUUUAGCUUCACAAAGUGAUCAUGAUAUUAGUGCCAAUGCUGAAACAGAUCAAGAGAAAUGAAAAUGGAAAACCAAGAAAAUAGUACCAUAUGGGAGCUGAAUUCCUUGGUAGAUUGUAUGUUCACCAACAACCAUUUGUUCUGCACGGAAGCAGCAUCUUUUGCCUGCAUACAAAGGCCAAAUGUUUAGUCACAACGUAUACCAUUUACAUUUACAUUUCAAAAUAUAUGCACUGCUCAUCUAGACGGACCUGCUACAACUUUUAGGCAAAAAUUCCCAUAAACUAUGGAGAUGGAAAUGAUUGUAAUCCAAAUGAGUUUAGGGCAUCAACUUGUACUAUUAACAGACAGAUGAAAAAGAAAAAAAAAGGAAGUGGCAACUUAAGCACUCUAUCAUGUAUGCAAAACAGAAAUAAUCUAUAUCUUAUUAGAGAUCUCACUAUGAUAGACCAAUUCCUGAAAUAGGUAGGUAUUAGCCAGUUCUAAUUUUGUACAAGUUAUUAAGCAAUUAUUUUUACAUUAAUUUCAUAUUAGGCAGUAUAUGUCUGAUAUGACAGUUACAGUGAUUUAUAGGUUCUGUGACUGACUUGUAGAAGACAAUUACAGUGUUGAAUUGUUAUCCCUUGUCUGUAAGGAAUGAUGAAACUCUUUCUUAGGAGCAAUGUUAUCAAAAUCGCAAGUAUACUUGCAAACUCACACAAUCUAUGAGUACGGAAGACCAAAGAGAGAACAAGUGCAAAGCAGAACAUGAAGGUCACGGAUCGUUGCAAGAUUGCAACUUCGCUCAUGAAAUCAGCAGAUCAUGCAUCAUGUCAAUCCUGAAAGCGUUCAUGCAGACUCAGACUUUGUUGCCCAGUUCUAGUUCCCAACUCCUGUAGUUGGCUUUCCAGUUUGGGUUAUAAUGACCCAAUUUAAAAAAAUAUAAAAUAUGACCCUUGGAUUACCAAUUGCAAAUCAGAAUCAAACAUCCUACUCUGUUCCACUAUGCUCAUCAACGACAGGUUGUCACUGACCAUAGCAGCGUACCAUAGUCAUCUCUGGCCCUUGUAACACUCGUGUCUCAGUAGUUGCCAGCCAUCACAACUAGCACUGACGCUUGCAUCACCGUAGACAAGGUUCACAUCACCAUCGCUGGCACCAACUCUUGGGGGUGCCAUUUUUUCUUGUUGCUUUGGCUGUUCAGAGUUUUUCUUCUCAGAGAUACUUAUUUUAUUAUUUUAGUUAACCAUCACAAUUUAAAAGACAUUUCUUCUCAGUGUUUGUUCUAUAAUUUUUCUUCUGAAUAUUUUCUCUUAUUCUUGCUUCCAUUUAGAUUGGGAGCAUUAUGUCAAGUUCAUAAUUUGUAUUAAGCAAUUAUGAAUUUACUAGUUAUUAUCAGUUAUUCUAUGGCUUAUGAAACUAUUUGUGUUAUGUAUUGGAGAUAUUUAUGAUUAUUGUCUAUAUUAUUUUAAAAUAUAGUUCAUGUCUAUAAAUGUAGUUUUUCCUAUAUGUCUUAUGAGUCGAGUUAAGAUCUGUUAUCCCCCUUCCGGUUCUCUUACAAUCAUUGAGUUUGACAACAUUGUUAGGGAAACACUCUGAGUAUAUACACAAACAAAUAUGUCCUAAAACCCAAGUUAUUUCUUUCUUUAUUUAGAACUCAGCUUGUUUAAUUCUUGAGUCCAACACAUUACUAGAGAAGGAAAAUUAUUUAAGUGGUGGUGAUGGAGAUCACUAUAACAACUCCCAGUCCUAUGUUAAACAAGGCUGAUUGAAGAUUAUAUGCAAAUUUUGAAAUGUUGUUUGCCCAAUAGCUAGAAAUACCAGAAUACAAGGGUUUGGAGUAUUUUAUGAACGGGAUUAAUAAUGUUACUACGAGAAAGUUGUGAACUUGCAACCAAAAGAUGUACCAAAGGAAAUUGGUCUUUCAAACUCGACAUAAAUUGAAUUGUAUGGAGAAACAAUGGGUUUUGAGUCAAAGAGAACAAUAUGUAGAAUCUUUCCCUAAUGCCUGGCAAACAGGUGAGUUUGUGACAACUAAACUCGGAAUGUUAGGAAGAGAAAGGGAAGAUGUUGGGUCAGUCUGGUUUUCACCCUAACCCUAAUCAAUUGGGUGAUAGUCGAGCAAGGGUGCAGAAUUCUAAAACAUUAGCAUCAGUUGGGCAACCCAAUACCAAUUCUGAAAGAAGUAAUUAACAAACUUCUGAGUUCAGAAACAGAGGUGCUAGAAACUUAUCAUACCAGGAGUAUGUGAGGAGAAGAGAGAAAAGUUCACUGUUCUCACUGUAACAAACAAUUUGGCCAUUCCAUAGGUGUCGUAAAAAGAAGUAAAAAUGCUUAUUCAAGAGCAGCAUGAGGGGGAGUUUUUGGGAAAUCAAGGGCGUGAGGGUGCGUCGGAGUGUCAAUCGCCACAAUCUUUGUGCAUGGCGGUCGCCUGAUCGAGACAAUCUGAACAAUGGUGUCGUCGGUUCAAACAGCGAUGACAACUGCACAACGGUGGCUCGAAAAAAAAAGUCACUGGUGAACAAUGGGUUCACCAGGAUUUACCUAACUCUAGAUACCAUGCGAAAAUAAAGUAAAAAGAGGUAUAGGAUUAAUCCCUUGUGUAUAAUGAACACAUAGGAUUAUGUAUUUAUAGAUAAGAAACAUACAAAAGAUAUGGGCUAAGCCCAUUACAUCUAACAUAUGUAAUGAUGACUAUGGUUCAGAUAUUAAUGACUAAAAAUAUACUUCUUUUGCUUGUUCAUUUCAUUCCUUAGGCCUCCCAACCUGAUGUCACUUAUUGGUGGUCCAAGAAAUAAACCUUGGUUACCAAAUGCAUUACUGAAGCAGAAUAAAGGAGUCUUGUUACUUCAGCCUCGGAGAAUCAAUGGGUACAGUCUCAACUGAAACAACUACAGGUUGUUUGCUCCACACCUACAAUAUACCUUGACAAUCAAAGCAUUGUUGCUUUGAGUUGAAGCCUUGUGUUGCACCAUUAAACAAAAUACAUGGAAGUGAACAUCUUUUUGUCAAAGAAGAAGGCUAUAGAUCAUUCCCACAUAGUUGCUCGUGUUGCUCAAGAUCAAAUUGCAAACAUUUCACCAAGCCUCUCUCUAAACUCAGAUCUAUAACUCAGACAAACUCAAGUUCUCAAACAUCACCAAUCACCCUGAGUUAUAGGGGACAUGCUAAAGCAUAUUGUAUACGAUUAGUUAGUUGUCACCUAAAUUUGGUUAUAAUUCAGUUGUACCUAACCAUCCUUUGGUUGUUAGAUAUAACCAACUAAAGUCAUCCAUAAAUUGUGAUCAAUUGUACUUUACAACAAAGAUUAUCGAUAGCUUGUUUUCUUUGUUUUCUCUAAAUUAUCUCUAUGGCAUACCAAUCUAAAAAAUUUAAUGUUAAUUUCGAAUUAGGUAGUUAAACAUUAUGAUAUCUAAUAAUUAUACACAAAUUGUGUGACAGGCUUGUGAAAGGAAAUUAAAGUGCCAAAUUGUUAUUCCUUGCCUCUUGGGAGCAGGAAACACCUACGUUAGGGGGAAACCCCUAGUUUGUACACAAAUAUGUCCUAAAGACUAAUAUAAUUUUAUCUUUAUUGAGAAUUUAGUGUGCUAAAUUCCGUGAGCCUAACACAGUACUAGUGUGUGUUUUUUAAAUUCUCUCCACAUUGUGUUUGGCUUCACUCUUUCCACUCCAACAGAAUCUGGAAAAUCCAAUCUAAGAAGCAUGUUUACCUUAUCAAAAGGACCAUUGAACAUCAGAUGAAAUGGUGGGCGAUAAAGUGAAGCAAGGUUGUCCCGAGAAGUCUCUGCUGUAGAAGCAGCACCUUGCUCUGGCUCCCAAACUCCUGGAUUUCUCAUUUCCUCUUCAAAGUUACGAAAUGCAACUAGGGUGCUUGGUUCUUGUGAACGAUGCCCAACCCUUGAUGCUCUGCAUAAACAUGACAAAAAACAACAUAAAUACAUAGUUUGAAUGUCAAAGCAACAUAUAUACUAUAGCACAAGAAAGUAGACUUAUAAAACUCAAUGAGCCAAACUAAAAAAUACGCAAAUAUUUCUUAAAGAUAAGACAAGUAAUAAAACAACAUUAAUUGAAUUCAGGCUACAAUAUCAAGGACUAAAAAGUAAAAACAACAUUAAUCCUUUAUGAUACAUCUCAAAUACCAUAAAAAAAAAUUGUCGGCAUUAUACUUCUUGGUGGGUAGUCAUCAAACAGACACGCCAAGACACGCCAUAUUCAAAAAGUUAAACCUUCCAGUUAUGUAUGGAUAUCAAGACUGUCUAUCUAGAUUCAACAAUUGAUUCUUCUUUCACCUAAUUUUGUUUCACAACUCAAAGGCACACAUAAACAGCUUGCAGAUUAUACAAAUAUAUAAUCCAGAGAAUAAAAAACACCGAAUAAUAUGCAUCUCUGACAAAACAAAAGAACAAAUGAGGAAAAAAAAACAUACCCAUACAGCAUUGCAUCGUCAUAGAGAGUUUCCCUUAUUACAGGCAAGGGAGGGCGCACUUCAUCUGCCUCGUUGAGUCCAACACUUUCACUCGCCGUUGCGUCCUUCCUCGGUUCACUGAAACAACAAGUACAAGUUAGAGAGAAAGCAACCCACAAAAAUCACUUACAAAUAGCACAGGAAUCGGAGUACAACCUCGGAGGUUGGUCAGUCCAGGAAUCAACAUUUUCCAAAGGUGGGGUGUGCAAAGUUGGAGGCGGCACUGCCCCACUUUCACUACCUAUCAAAAACAACUGGAGGGCCUCCUCAAGCUUCCAACUGGUAGCCUGUUACAACAUCAAUCACAACAACAACCCUAAUAUUCCGUAGAUCUGUUAACAAAUAACAAUAGUCUACACUUCUCUCUUGAUUAAAAUUCACUCCCCGCCCCUAUGAGUGGUAGGAAGUUUCAAGAUUACACAAUAAUGAGUGUAGAAAGAUGUGAAAUUGGGGAAUUUGGGAGAGAGCGAAACCUGGAGGAACUGGCGCGCAGUUUCGGCAGUCUGGCCCUGAGCGACCUCAAGAAACGAAGAAACCAUGCUCUGCUGCUCGUUCGUGGACAGCACUCCUUCCAUUGAUUCCGAUCGAGAAGGGAUUAGGGUUCGUUCCAAUCCAGAGGAAGAAGAUGAAGAAGAAUAUGAGUACUCAUUAACCAACUAACACACUCUUCUCUGUAAUCUUUAAUGUUUUUGUGAAAUAAUAAUAACAAUAAUAAAUUAUUAUUAUUAGAAUGUUUCUCUUCCUAACUUUUACAUAUUAUUAUUAUAUUGGCAAAUAUAAUUUUAAAAAAUAUUUUUAACAAUAAUUUAUCACAUGUUAAUCUAUUUCACUGUAUAAAGAUAACUUUUUUUAAUGUUAUUUUUUAAUUUAAUUAAUAAAAUGAAUAAUUGAUUUUUUAUUUUAAAAUAAUUAAAUAACUUUUUUUAAAUAACGGGUAUAUAAUUUUUAAUAUCAUUUUUACAAAAUUAUAUAUAUAUAUUAAAUUCUAUUAUUUUUUUAAUUAAUUAUUUAUAAAAAUAAUAAAACUAUAUAGAUUAUAAAGCUAUGCAUUUUUAAUAUAAUCAAAAUGUAAAUAUACGUGUGUAAAAAUACUUGUGUUUUAACUAGUACUUAUUAAUAAUAUUUAUUUAAUUAUAAUAAGAAACAGUAUCAUAAAUAUUAUAUAUACGAAUUAAAUCAAUCAAUUAAAUUAUUAAAUUUUGAAUAAUUUCGAUAAUUUACUACCAAAUUUCUUAUUAAAAUUUGACUAAAAACAUCUACAAAAUAUUUUGCUAAGGUGUGGUUGAGUUUAGUUCUUAAGGACUUAUUUGUGUUGAUUAAGUUUGUGAUGCUAUAAUAGAAUCUUCAUCUUAAGCAUAAAAAAACUAAUAUAGCACAUAUUAUAUAAAAAAGAAUAGAAGAAAAAUGUAAAAUAAAACAUGAAACUUGCUUAAAUUGAAAUCUUUUAAGUUCAAAAGAGAUCCAAAACACAUGACUUAAUUCUCGUGCAAAAUUUAUGAUUCUAGUUAUCUACUUUCAAAGUAUAACAAUCAUGUUGGGUAAAUAAAUUAUUUUGAAAAAUAUUGAACCAAACAAUGGGAGACUUUUUCAACCUUUUGAUAUACACAAAACUACAACACAAAUAACUUAAUUAUCUUUUAUUAUAUUUCUCCAAUUGAUAUUCGACUAAACAACAUCACAAUACUUGAAACCCCAAGUGAUCAUUAGUCGAUUAUCUGUAAGCUCUUUCCACUAAGAAAUUAGAGAUUAACACUUGGUUCACGUCUUUUAGUGAGACAAUAUUGAAAUUUAAUAAAAACAACAUUGAUUUUCAACCUUGCUCUUUACUUUUUGUUAGGGAAAAAAUACAACAAAUGAUGGAUAUAUGUGAACCUUAACAAUGAACAGACAAUAAAAAUAAUAUGAGUGAUACAGUCGAUGUUAUAUGGAAAGAUGCGACAAAUAAAUCAUUUUAUGCCCCAUCAAAUUAAAGGAUAUUGCAUGUCAUACUCUCCUGUAAUAGGGAAAGGUUGAUCAAAAGGGAUUAAGAUCUAUUAAUGAGUUGUCACCAUUAAUCAUUUAGAUUUGGUCUUACCUCUAAUUAUUAUUAUACUAUUAAGUUUAUAUAUCCAUUUUUACUUUCAUAAUUAUUAGCACAAAUCGUUUAAUGACAAGUAUAUCAAUCGCACGAUAGUAAGUAGUAAGUAAUUAUCGUUCUCCUAAAGGACUUGUGAAAUGCACGACAAUAAUUACAACUCAUAACUAAUUUAGACUAAAGAAUAUUUCCAUACAUUGUUUUGAUGUUAACAAAAUUAAAACCGUGCAUAAAUAAUUAAAACCUUUUUUGGGAUUUUAUCAAACCACUUAAAAUGUAUAUGAAAUUAGAUGUGAUGUGUUAUUGCUAGGGUUAGACUUCAUUGAACCUCACUCUCAUGCACAUAAUCACUCGACUUUUUUCCAAUUUAAUACUAUAGUCAAUCCAUGAGUUUUCUCAAACUCAAUUUUCUUAGUAAAAUGAGUUUUAAGUUUCCUUGUUAAGAGUCAGAUCCUUAAGCAUUUAAUAAACAAUUUUGCUUUCACAAUAAGGAUUUAAGACAACUAAGGAGUUAAGUUUCAUUUAUAGAUACAAGCUUUAGUAGGUAUUUUACUUUGGUUAUAAAUUACAAACGAUGUUUUUCAAUACCCAAUGAAUCAAAUAUCAAGUUAUGGGUGAUAAAAUCACAACAAGCAUCAAGCGUAAAAGUUGAGUGUUAUCAUUAUGUCUUUAGUAAUAAAAACAAUUAAUUAUGUUUAGCUUGGAAAAUUGUUACUGUUAGAGCAAAAAUCCAACACCAUGUAGUUUUGAUUAAGUAUUUAAAGUAAUAAAGCAUGAAGUUGUGUUUGAUAUGACGAAAAUCAAACCAUACAAGUAAAUCAUUUAUCAAAUGAUAAGAGCACCGUGACUAACCACAAUGUUAGGUAGUUGAAGAUUAAAGUUUAGACGAUGACUACAUUUAAAAGACCAAGUUGGCAUCCUUCUGACCUAUCAUAUAUUUACGAGUCAAUCCGAUUCCCAUAUCUCCUUGGAUCUCCCGUUAAGUUGUUAGGAGUCCCUUUAGUUGAAUCAUUAUGAGUCUCAGUAAAAGUUGAUUAACCUAACUCUCAAUCAACAAUUUAAUGUUUCCUUUUACUUGUAGUAGCUCAUGCUUUGAUUCACCCUAACCAAUGAUGAGUUUCUAUUAAGAUUGGAGUCUUUCAUUCCUUGUCGCUUCAAUCCAAAUUGAACUCGUCCCAACAACGAAGACCUUCCUAUUGUAAGGUGAUACUCUGCCCUUCCCUUAAAAUCCACUUUGAGUUUUAGGGGUAAAGGAGUAACUAAUCUAACUUAUUGAGUUGUCAAUAUAUUGAACAAUUAACAUUUGAGCGAGCCACCUUGUCUCACUUUGGGAUGAGAGGGAAGGUUGGUUUGACUUAAAUCCCAAACAUUUUCUUUCAUCUUACAUUGUUUUAUGAUGUAAUAAGAUAGAUUUGUUAUUAUUAUUAUGCUAACUUGCUUAGUCCCACUGGGAAAACCUUUGUUCCACUCGUAACUUUAGAAUCCACUCAUUUUUCCUAGUUUCUGAAAGCCCUUGUAUCUUGGCUUACUCUUAUUUCUCAACUUGAGUUUUGAGUUUAGCGACUUUUAUCAUUAACAAAAAUUUGCGCUAAUAAGACAGGUGGGGAGUGUAUGCCUUUUUCAUAAAAUAUAAAGCUCUUUAUACUUUAACGAAUAAAUAACAUCAAAUUCAUAGAAUAAAUGGUCAAGAAACUAAUAGAGAGAGAAAUGUCCUUUUCAUUAUUGGUGGACAUUUCGUUAAAUUGAACUGCUCAUAGAGCUUUUGAUUGAGUUGUUUAUGUUUUAGAAUUCCAUGGAUAAUUAGGGGUUUAAGUUCAAAGGUUACAAAAUGUAGUGUUUUUUUUAAGGGUGAUCAAAGAAACCAAAACUUUUUGCUACUUUCUUUUCUAUUUCUAUUUCAUAGCGAAAUAUUUCCUUUGUAUCGAAAUCUUAACAAAAAUUUUAAAAAAACAAUUGAAUUGAGAACACAAAAUAUUACUCUAAUCACACAUUCUCACAUCUCUCUACAUAACAUAUUACAAUUAUCUUUUUCUUUAACGUUAAAUUAUUUUGUUAAUUAUAUUUUAAAGAAUAUUUUUCUUAUAACUUCUUAAUUAUAAUAUUUAAUAAUGACUCGUAUUAUUUUAAAAGUUUUUAAAAUGCAACACAGACAUGUGUUUUCAUAAUUAAAAUGUACUCAAUAAUUAAUGGUUAUAAAAUUACAUAUUGUUGGAGAUCCCACAUCGACUAGAGAUUAGAGCCUUUCAUCGUAUAUAAGUGGGUGCAAACCUUAACCUCAUGAGCCGGUUUUAUGGGGUUGAGUUAGGCUAAAGUCCAUUUCGUAUCACAUAUAUAAUAUAAUUUAUAAUUUAUAAUUAUACAUAAAAGAGACUUUCUUUGCGUAAAUAUUUUUCUUUUCUAUAUUAGUCUAAAAUCAAAAUUUUUUUUGGUUUUCUUUUAUUUCUAUCACAAUUAUCUCACACUCGAUAUCAUUUCAAAUUUCUUAAAUGGUAAAUUUAAAUAUAUGAACAAAAUUAUUUUUAAACAAAACAACAUAAGAAAUAGUUUUUAUUUUUUACUUAUUUUUCUUUUUCAAAUUUUCACAUAUCAUUUGAUCUUAAAAUUGAUAAUGCGGGUAGGUUGGAUAGGACAACUCGUGGUCUGAUAGGAAAAAACACUAGAUAAACUUACUAUUUUAACAUAUUAACUUGUUUAGGUUCAUCCCAUAUAACUAGCGAUCCAUACAAACUAAGUACGAGAUGAAGUUGAUCAACCCCGCAUAACCUCAUAUCUUAAAAUUUUAUUUCAGUACCUAAAAAUAACACGGGGAGUGCAACCAACCUUAAACAUAAUUUCUCUUACAUAUAGUUUUCUUAACCACAAAUUUUUUUGCAUGAGUUAUUGAGAAAAUGAGUCAAAAUAAUCAAAUUAUUAAAUUAUAUAUUUUUUAUAAUUAAUAAAAUUUCAUUAAAAUACAUUUAUAUAUAUAUAUAAUUUUUUCAAAAAUAUUUUUCUUUUGUUAAUGAAUGCGGAAUAAACCUAUAAAAUCAAACAAUUAGUAGCCAAAUAUUAAAUAGGCUAGCUUCCAUUAUCAUUCCUAUUUAAUAUGUAUAAAAUAAGAUCACUUUUAUUUUAUUUUAUUUUAUCUUAUCCUCAUUCUAACUAAGGUGAUUCUGCCACAUAAAUCCAAUUUAUUUAGUACACCUUUCAACAGCGACAACCCAUUCUUCAAAUAUAAUUUUAAUAUCAGUGUAUUUUUUAAUAUUUUUAUAGGAAUUUGAAG